This 491-nucleotide ribosomal RNA is filed under the name uncultured soil bacterium. RNAcentral's name for it is "bacterial SSU rRNA". It matches the Rfam family "Bacterial small subunit ribosomal RNA", at positions 26 to 496 of the family's 1533-position model. The record is from RNAcentral.
AGAUUGAACGCUGGCGGAAUGCUUUACACAUGCAAGUCGAGCGGCAGCGCGGGGCAACCUGGCGGCGAGCGGCGAACGGGUGAGUAAUGCAUCGGAACGUGUCCAUUCGUGGGGGAUAGCCCGGCGAAAGCCGGAUUAAUACCGCAUACGCCCUUCGGGGGAAAGCGGGGGACUUCGCAAGAGGCCUCGCGCGAUUGGUUCGGCCGAUGUCCGAUUAGCUAGUUGGUGGGUAAAGGCUCACCAAGGCGAUGAUCGGUAGCUGGUCUGAGAGGAUGAUCAGCCACACUGGACUGAGACACGGCCCAGACUCCUACGGGAGGCAGCAGUGGGGAAUUUGGACAAGUGGGGGCAACCCGUUGACUCCGAGCCAGUUCCGCGUUGAGUGAAGAAGGCCUUCGGGUUAGUAAGUACUCUUUUAGUACCGGAACGAAACGGUAGAACGUGAAUAUCGUACGACUACGUAGACGGUACCGGAAGAACGUAAGCGACCG